GCGCAGGAUCUGAGUCGCCGUCGAUGGAUUUCGCGUAGCCUGGCUUCUUUUUCUUUGGAUCCGGUGCGUGCGUGCAAGCUCUCUCUCUCUCUCUCUCUCUCUCUCUCUCUCUCUCUCUCUCGGUGCGUGCGUGCGUGCGCGCAUUGCACACCACUAGACCCAAACCCUAAACCAAAUCAGGGGAGCUCUCGUUGCCGGAUCGCUGGCCUAUCGUCCGGAUGUCCGCCGCGUCAGUUCCCCACAGCUACGGUGCCGCCAGCCACCGCCGUUCCAUUGCCUUGGAUUCGGCUGUGCUCGUGGGCUGGGAACCGUGCUCUGUUGUCUGAUGCGUCGUUGGAGCGGGAGGUUUGAUCGGUCGAGGCCAGGUAUGAGCAGCUCCUUUGCUGGCUGGAUGGAUGGAUGUAGGUCAUAUGUCGUGAACUAACACCACGACACCUCUUUUGGAACGGAGGGAGUAUGUAUGUACGUAUGGAUGUCAUGGUCAUGUUGCUUGGGGGUUCAACCUCUUUUUGCGUUAGGGUUCACUUCGUGUGUUCUUUCGCUCCAGGGGUCAUUUUUGUCAAUUUUGCCCCCCUCCCCAUUAUUUUUGCUAAAUGGCCCCUUCACAGGAGUAUGUAGCAGAGCAUCUACAGCCAUACAUGGAUCUGGAACCGGAGCGGAUACCCAUCCGGGUCCAGAUCUCGACCGACCCCUUCUCCCGCUGGUGACGAGCCCCUAGCUAGCUAGCUCGGACCAGCCCGGCUGCGAGAGGCCACCGGUGGCAUGGCUGCGUGCGGCGGCAAGGCCGCGUGUAAUGCGAGCGCUCUACUUGGAUCUGUCCGAAUCCUGGCGAGCCCUGUCUCCCGCUCGCCGUGGCCGCUGAUCGCGCUCGUCGGCUGGGGCCGCGUCCCUCCUCAUACGGCGGCGAUGAUGGAGGGAGCCGCCGGCGCCGGCCAGGCCCCCGACCGGCGGACGCGCCGGGCNNNNNNNNNNGUCCGCCGCGUCAGUUCCCCACAGCUAUGGUGCCGCCAGCUACCGUCGUUCCAUUGCCCUGGAUUCGGCUGUGCGCGUGGGCUGGGAACCGUUCCCUGUUGUCUGAUGCGUCGUUGGAGCGGGAAGUUUGGUCGGUCGAGGGCCAGGUAUGAGCAGCUCCUGAGCUGGAUGGAUGGAUGCAGGUCAUGUGUCGUGAACUAACACCACGACACCUCUUUUGGAACGGAGGGAGUAUAUUUUGGAACGGAGGGAGUAUGUAUGUACGUAUGGAUAUCAUGGUCAUGUUGCUUGGGGGUUCAACCUCUUUUUUGGAUAAAGAAGAGGGGCGAUGCCCAUAAUUAUGACUGGCUGAAAUAAUCAUGUCUUUGAGACAUCAAGACAGCCGUGGCAAGGUGGGACUAAAUAGUGUCUGAAAGUGGGUAUCUGCGUUGGAGUUGCUCUUAGAGCCCACCCUUACCUCUGUUGCAGCCUGUCCAAUUCAUCGCCAAUGUUGGAUGUUCUGUGCCUUGGACGGUUGUUCUGAUGAGGGCAUGUACAUUGGUUCAGUCGGAAACCAUCGGCAGCAUGCGGCCAUCUCAGUGAUAACCAGGGCUGUUCUCUUACAUUGUGAUGUGUGGAUUAUGCAGCAAGAGAUGUGGGUGUUGGGUUUGAAGAUUAAAUGCUAAACUGAGACCUCUCUUGCUAUGCUACAUAUACUCAGUUCAGUUGCAUUUUGUUCUGGAUUUGGCAUGGAUCCUCUUCACCUCCCCCCCCCUCUCUCUCUCUCACACACACACACACACACACUCACACUCACCCUAAAACAAAUCAGUCAAGCUCUCAUUGCGACUCGCUGACCCGUCGUCUGUCUGGGGGGCUGCAACAUCAGUUCCUCGAAUCUACGGUGCUGCCAGCCACCGCCAUUCCAUUGUGCCUUGGAUUUGGUUGUGGCGUGGGCUGGGAACCGUACAGUGUUGUCUGAUGUGUCAUACGAGCCGGAG
Molecule: long non-coding RNA, 1952 nt
Filed under: Hordeum vulgare
Lineage: Eukaryota; Viridiplantae; Streptophyta; Magnoliopsida; Poales; Poaceae
Description: long non-coding RNA (HVUL_LNC020567)
Source: RNAcentral